RNAcentral lists this long non-coding RNA (335 nucleotides) under Mytilus galloprovincialis (Mediterranean mussel). The record is from RNAcentral. Lineage: Eukaryota; Metazoa; Mollusca; Bivalvia; Mytilida; Mytilidae.
AAUGACUGUAUAUUUAACUGCCAAAACAAAGAAUUUUGUUCAGCUUUAUUGUUAAUGUUAAAAUUGUUAAUUAUUAUAUAGAUCUGUUUAUUGCAAAAUUCAAUGUAUGUAAUUAUGUACUUAGAAAGAGAAAUGAAACCAUAUACAAAUUCUCUUUAUCUUAUUUAAUUUCUGUUUAUAGAAGUACAGUUUUGAUUCCUGUCUUACAGACUCAUUAGGGGUCUCGGUGGCUGAGUGGUCUAAGUAAUUGCUACUGUAAUCACUAGCUAGUCAACACUGAGGUUGUGAGUUCGAACCCCACUCCUGCAGGUGCACGUAAAGUAAAAAAGGUCCAG